Molecule: ribosomal RNA, 251 nt
Filed under: uncultured Actinomycetes bacterium
Lineage: Bacteria; Bacillati; Actinomycetota; Actinomycetes
Description: uncultured actinobacterium partial 16S ribosomal RNA
Rfam family: Bacterial small subunit ribosomal RNA
Source: RNAcentral
GACGAACGCUGGCGGCGUGCUUAACACAUGCAAGUCGAACGGUGACGACGGGGCUUGCCCUGUCUGAUCAGUGGCGAACGGGUGAGUAACACGUGAGUAACCUGCCCUUGACUCUGGGAUAACCGCGGGAAACGGCGGCUAAUACCGGAUAUGAGACGUACAGGCAUCUGUUGCGUCUGGAAAGAUUUAUCGGUCAAGGAUGGGCUCGCGGCCUAUCAGCUUGUUGGUGGGGUGAAGGCCUACCAAGGCGA